Molecule: long non-coding RNA, 9013 nt
Organism: Passer domesticus (house sparrow)
Lineage: Eukaryota; Metazoa; Chordata; Aves; Passeriformes; Passeridae
Exons: 3
Source: RefSeq, a predicted model, not a curated record
UUGUGAAAUGGUUGCCCACUCCAUCCGUCUCGAGGCAUUCAUUGUGAUGAAGGUACUGUCGUUUCUUAGCAACUGCUCAACUUUCAAGUGGUUCUUCGGAUGGGGAUGCCUCUUCCGUGCUGGGAUCCCUUCCCCAGGGAUAAAUGAUGCUUUUAGUAUUUCUUUUUCUUAUAAAAAUUAUAAUCAUACCUAACAUUCAUACUGCUUUUCACUCAUAGAGCUCAAAGUAUUUUGCAAAAUCAGUAAGCAUUGUUUUCUCCAUUGUAGAGACAGAAAAGCUGAGUCACAGAGACACUAGGGCCAAUAUUUUCAUGUGUUCAUUCAUUUUAUGCAUCUUCAUUUCUGGGAACCCAGUCUGAAAUAACUUAACCUAAUUGCUUUGCUGUAGGACAUGAAAGGGAGCAGUAGGUCUUGAGCACCUUUGAAAAAUACAGAAUAGAACAGUAGGUGCAAAAUAUCUCAGAUGAGGCACAGAGAACUGAGUACCUAUGAAAAUGUAGUUGUAUACCAUCUGAUCAAGACCACAAAGAGCUCCCUUACUUCUGACAUCAGAGCCAGCGACCUCCAUUCAUGAGCCUACUGCUGCUUCAGGGUCUUCUUUCUGCCUUAAGUGGUGGAGAGAUGAGAUGGUGCAAAGCAUCAGGGUAUUUUAGAAGUUUCAGAGUAACUCUUCAUGCUGUGACAUAUUCAUACCUCCAGAGUUUUUUUUUUUUCUGCAAGGAAGGUAGAAAACAACCCUGUCCUAGAAGAACUGGUGGACUGGUAGCUAGACUUAAUAUUGAAAUGGUGGCAGCUGGUUCAAAAUUCUUAUCACCUAGCAAAGACUUCACCCUGAACUUUCCAUAUUCUAGAUGAGUCCAUUAAAUAUUUGGUCCUUCUGACUGCUUCUUCUCUUCUUCUGGCCAGCGAGUCCAUUUCAGAUCUAAGCAACCUUUUCCACUGAGACUAGAAAGUAUGUUCCUGCAGAGUGUCAGCUUCAACAAACUGCCAUUCACAGACAAAAAAUGUGUUUCAGUAAAAAAUUUCUGUGAGCUCUAUCGGCCACGUUAAUGCCAAUAGUACUCAAAUACACACAGUUUUAUAACUGCAUUGGCUUGUCUCUGCUUACCUGCAGCCUCUCUUGCCUAAGGAAGUUUCUGGAUUCGUAUCAUCUUUUCUCGGUUAACUUGUUCUUGGGUAGAAUAUUUCCUCUUAAUCUAAAAUGCUUCAAAUAAUCAAUAUAACUUUUCUGUCCCUGUUUGAAACCCAUCCUGCAUAUGUUGUGUGAUGGCUGAUGAACAACUCAACAUGAGCCAACAGUGUGUGCUCUCAGCACAGAAAGCCAAAGGAAUCCUGGGCUGCAUCAACAGGAAUGUGGCCAGCAGGGCAAGGGAGGGGAUUGUCCCCCUCUACUCUGCACUUGUGACCCCACAACCCGGAGUGCUGUGUAGGUUCUGGUGUCCCCAGCAUAGGAAGAACAUGGAACUUUUGGAGCAAGUCCAGAAGGCGGCCAUGAAGUUGAUGAAAGGACUGGAGCACUUUUCCUACAAAGACAGGCUGUGGAAGUUGAGGCUGUUCAGCCUGGAGAAGUUUGUGUGAAGACCUCAUUCCUUUUUUCAAACCUCUCUCCUUUAUUUUCCAUUCUGGUUUGUUCCAGUCUGUGCCAUUACUCAAAUUUCUCUGCUAGCAGGGGCUUUUUUAGUGUCCCACAGCUCCAGUUGUUGACAUAUCUUUUUCCAAUACUGCUUCCUUUGCCUGGACUAACAUUUCUCUCUCUGCUUUUUAAACUCUCUCUCUCUCUCUCUUUCUUUCUCUCUCUCUCUCUCCCCCCUGUCUUGAUUUCAAUUGAUAACAGAUUUGUUUAGCAAUUGUUUUUUUAAACUUUAGUUCUGGGUUUUUCCACUGUGAACCCAAGCCAGCCUGCACUUUUCUAGCACUCAGUACAAAAGUUACAAAACAUAGGAUUGGACAUUAUACCUCAGUGGAGGAGUUCAAAUCUGGUAGCAUCCAUGCUGACCAGAGACAACUUCACUGCCCCUGCUCCAGGACUCUGGAUGUGCUAUGAUAUGGUGAUUUAUCCAGCCUAACCCUCUGCCAACAGUAAGCACAGAUGGAAGGCUAUUUAGAGGUGGAACACUGAAGAUGGCAUUAUUUGCCAAGAGUUGCAUUCUAGAGCUUAAAGGAAAGGAUCUGUCAAAGAGAGAGGUUGUGCUGGUAAGAAACUCCCAGACCACCCCAACUCCAUUGCAUCAGGAGGACUGAAUAAUCAGUGACCUUGAGCAGAUGCUCCUCUAAUGGGAGUAGAGGCCAUCGGGAAGACUUUUUGUAUCUGUGGAAUGUGUCCAAGGAGAGAUACGAGGUGUGUAUAAGGAAAUAAUCUAAGUCAAAACAAGAAAGUGUACAGCCAUCCAAGCAUCUGGAAAGAGGUAGCACUGGCUGACCUGACAGACUUGUUUGUAUGUGCAUGGUGAAGCCUGAAGAUGAGCUGCCAGGGAUGGCUGAGCACAUUCGCUCCCUGAGGAUUUCUGGAUGGGAUUCUCAGCCUGGGAUCUAUCUCCCUGUGAACUCACUGAAGCAUACACCAGUUCCAGACUGUGUUGCCAUGCUCAGUAGCUUGUGGGAGAGGAAUAGUGUAAAGACAGUUCUUGCCACGCUGGACUUAAGAGGUUACUCUGAGAAGUGGGGGCAUGUCAGGAUCUUCACUCCUCUGCUGCAAUGAGGGAAAUGUCCCAGGCAGGAACACAGUCCCAGGGAUAGGGGUGUAUGACAUACAGAAUAAAGCUAAGGUCCUAUGAUGACCAUAUUUGAACUUCUGAUGAAUGGUAAAAGGAGAAGGAUGAACAGGCUCUUCCUUUUUUUGACCUAUCAUGCUGUCCUAUCCUCUAAGGCUGCUGAGGUAUUGCUAACUCACUGUGUUAGAAUCUGCUUGUUAACUCUCCAUGGAGUUAACAAGAGGAGUGAGAGCACAUUUGGGGAAAGGCAGAAAGAGAGAGAGGAUCUUGGAAGGAAAGCCAAGGACAAGCAGAUACAGUCAUGGUGCUUUGGCUGGGACAUAUAUUGAAUAAUACUUCCGAGUUGCCCAUAAAGUCAAGAUCCUGGCAGAGGGUGGAUCUGGAUGCUAACUCAGCAUUUGUAUGCCAUGAAGAGAAUACCAUGGGGACUCAGUCCAUUUUCCUCAUUGAAAUGAUCAACUCAAGUGAAUUAACUUGGUUUCCAACUCAUCCAACCCUAAUCAUCCUCCUUUGAAGUUCUCCUUCCUAAUUCAUGUUGUAAUUGUGCCCUAUAUAAAAAUCCCAAUGUGUCUCAAAGGCAGCUGGAGUACAAACCACGGAAGGGAUGUGGAGGCCUUUUAUCCAAGACAAACCUACACUGAAAAUUAAUCCUGGUUUUGGAUACAGUAAUAGCUCUCAGAUUAGAGAGACAGAAGAAGGUAGCAUGGCUGGACUGCUAACUAUGCCUCUGCUUGCUGCCCUUGAAAGGGACUGAUUCAGGGGACUUUGUUAACCCAGACUAAAAUACUUGUUGAGUUGGAGGAAGGUAGAAGACCUUGUUCUGAUGUUACAUAAGCACAUCGUGUAAAUUAAACUGAAGGAUCAGUUCAACUCUGUAACUCUGAGCAAGCAUAACUGUAGUGAAAUAAAAUUGUUACAAGAAGGAGUGAGAAGGGGUUUAGAGACUGACUUUUCUGUCAUAUCUCUUGGGAAGAAAAUCUCAAUGAAAGCCACCAGUAUUAAUGAAAGCCAAUUGGAACUUGAUAGGAAUUAUUUUGCUAUUUUGUCAGCGUUGGUUGGAACACAGGGAUUUAGGAAGAUUUCCUUUGUAGAAGCACAUCUAGGAACAUUGUGCUGUCUCCUCUGAGCUGUGAGAUGUACAAGCCUUUGGGAAUUUGUAUUUCUCUCAGGAUCUAGUUUGUAUGCAGCUUUUCAGAUUUUCAUGGAAGACCAACAAUCCCACAUUACUGGCAUCUGUUAACUGAAUGAGAGCACACAAUCCCAGACCCAAAUCCUACCUACAUGCCAUGAAGGAACUAGAAGGAUAGAAGGGGAAUUCAGGUUGCCUGGAAUUGCUGUGCCUCUUCUAAAAAUUGUCCCCAUAAACAAAUACCUUAUCAUAGUGGGGUAAACUGCCAAAUCCCAAAGAAUGGGCUUUGAGAAAUUUCUUCUCAGAUUAUUAAACAGGUCCUAUCAAAGAAAUGGCAAAUGAGAAAGUGGCCUUUGUUUUCCACAGUCAUGAUGGGUCUAGGGACUGGAGUGGUAAGGGGGCAUGGUUAGUGGGGACCAGCACAACAUAAAGGGGUCCCAGAGAAUGGAGCGUGCUACAGUUGAGUCAUUUCCUAACUGCAUUUGCUGGUAUUGCACUUGGCUCUGACCAGAGCAUUUCAUUGCUUUUUUAUUGGAAGCACACAAACAUUCUGUCCCGUUUGAAAGGAAGGAGAGGGAAGAGCUCAGCUGCAGCGAAGAAUAGAGAAAUCAGAGAGUGAGGGAGGGAGCUGCAAAGAAAAGAGCAGGUAUAGUGCAUGUCCGAUGAGGUCCAUCUGUUCCUCAUUAACCAGAUGUCUCCCACCCACCUCCUGAAGUGCCAUUGACUGCGUAUUGUCAGGACAAGAAGGGGAUAACAAUGCCACCAUGGUGCAGACAUUCAUACACCAACAGGAGUCCUGCCAUGCAGCCAUCCCUCCCUCUACUACCCUUCCAGAUUGGAUGCCAAGUCCCUCUUUUUCAUAAUCAGCUUUUAAACAGUUACAUCCUCAUAAAGCUUUUGCAUUAUAAUUGCCAUUUGUUUCAUCCUGCUCUGAAAAUGGCAAGUUAUUUCAGCCCACUUUACCAGAAUCAGACCUUACUUCCUGUAAGUGUGUCACGACUUCCUGCAGCAUUUAAAAGAGAGAGAAGUGAAUACUUGCUUUAAAAAGUGGUUUCUACUUGCCAAACUUCAUCAUUUUAAGAGUCAGAGAGUCCUUGGAUUCACACCUGUAUCCAAAGUGCAGCAGUAGAUUUAUGGACAAUUCAACGUACUAAAGAUUAUUUAGAAAUGCAGGAAGAAGUAUAAAUUACUUUCUCUAUGUUGUUAGCCAAGGAUCAUUUAUAAUAAGAGCCCAUUGAAUCAUCCUUACUCCAAGGGUGAUCUGUGCAGUGGUCCAUGUGUGGGCAUGUCAGCCCACACAGGAAAACUCUGUCUUAUUCUCUAGGCUGUAUUCACAGCCUGCUCAUGGCAAAUCUUCCUUUACCUCCAUAUCCCUGAUGAGAGCAAAGCGCUCUGUCCUCAACCCUCUAAAUCAUUCCACAGCACAGCUCAUAAAUUGUAGUGUGCAAAUGGAGCAUGUGCUGAGCUGCAGCCACAGAUAAUGUGAUGCUUCCACCCAUUUUCCUUUGUAAAAGCAUGCAGGCUAUGCUGUGCACUGGGCCCCUGACUCAUGUAACAGCUAGAAAAUAGCCUGUGUCUUAAUCUUGACAUUUUGGUCCGAGCUCCUGCACACUGAAUUUGAAUGGCUGGAGGAGAUCUGGGUGGGCAUGUGUCCUCCAAAAGCAGCAGCUCUGAGCACUUGCCAGAUGAGCAGCUAAAGGCCUCAAGAGCUUGUUGAGAUAAAUAUCUGUACCUCUUUCAGAGUCAUUUUACUUAGUGAGCCUGCAACACUGCCAGAAUAGCUCUAGGUUUAAAUGCCUGUUGAACAGCUGGUGCUGAGCCUCAUGUUGAUGUGAGACCUCUGCAUGAGCUGUGCACUCUCCUUGAUGUCACGGUGUUAUUACAUUGCUGUCACUGCGAGAGCAACUCCAGUGUGGCUUCCUGCUCACUGUGAGGCAGAAGAGUCCUUCAUACAUCGACAGCAGUUGGUCCUUGAACCCUGGUGGGUGAUGACUGAGACUGCAUGCAGGGGCAGUGGCAUUGCUGAGCCCUGUGCAUGUUGCGAAAAGCUGAACAAAGCCAGGUAAAGAUGGAAAGGAAUAAAGAAAGACUUGGUUGAGCAACAAAACAGGAAACUUCAUCAAGAGACAAGAGAGAAUGGAUGGCAGAGAGAGGAGUGAAUGCUUUUUAAAAGAGAAAGGCUCAUUUGUUCAGGGGAAUAACCAUGAGCAGAAAAGACAAAUUAUGAGCUGGCAUUGAAGGCAGGAGAUCUUCCAUUGAGUUAAAAGGAGAGAGAGCUGUUGUGGAGGACAUUGUUUUUAUUGUUUUUUCAUGAUCUGUUUUUCCUGAGAGGCGAUGGAUUCAGACAUUAUAUGCAGAUUUCACCUUUAUCACAGAUGUGUUACAUCUAGCAGUGACUAUAAGUGAAAGGGUGAGCUCAUGCCUCAUGAUAGGUUUCUGUGAAAGGCUGUACUUAAGCUACCUGGGGAAGUUGUGUGAGCCUGCAGGGAGAGGCAACUGCAGUAGGAGGUCAAGUUCUCAAGAAGGAAUGGUCGAUAGAGCUCUGUGCCCCUCAACCAUCCCUGGAGAUGCCCAGUCAGGUGUAGUGCUUUUGUCUCUCUUUACGCUCGAGAGGCUAAAAGCAUGCUGAAAACUCAGCAGCUGGAUUCUGCAGCAGCAAUCUGAUUAGUGUCCAACAAAUGGCUCCUAGCCAGGUUUGUGACAACCUGAUCAAUCAAAUUCAGAAAAUCCCUUUUUAGCUUCACAGCCGACAUUGGGAAAGAUCUGGGAACAUGUUUGGGAAUUGAAGGCACCUGCUGAACGUGAAUGAGAAAGAAAUAAAACAGACAGGUGGAUGGAGAAAGAAAUGAAUGGAGGUUCAUGUGAUGAUUCCAUGGGCUGGUGUUUGGAAGAAAGCAAGCUGCCUUAGAUGCCAAAUUAUGCCCUUGCCUGCAUCACGUGGCAAAUAUGAGACUGCGCUGUGAUGGCAACUUAAUGUGGAUGCAUUUCCAUGUGUUGCUUUUGCAAUAGCAAAACACACCUGAAAGUUUCUCCAGGUGAGUUACAACUGACAUGGAAAGCCUGAGGAGAAAGCUGGGAUCUAGCAAGACAUGGGAAAACAUACCCAGAGUGCCUGUUGUUGCUAUUAAACACCAUCUGUCACGGACCUACGCAGGAGUUCAGUAUUGGAUUCUUCUUCCAUCACAAAGGCUAAAUGAAAUAAUCUGCAUCUUAGCCUCACAUGCAUCAUUGCUGAAUGUAAGAAUUAGUAGUUCAUGCUCACUUUUAGUAGCCAUGGAUUGGACCCAAUGUGUCAACUUCAUGACAUUUUCCUGACACUGCCCAAGACUUAAACAACAUCGAUUUUAUUUUUCUUUUUCUCCCUUACUGUUUUCUUCUCACUCAAAGCAUUGCAGAAUUGGUUUGUUUUUUAAAUAAAACCUUUUUUAGGUGCCAAGUAAGCUUGCAACUGCAGCAAGAACAAUACCCCAAUGUUCUCUCUCUCUCUCUCUCCCCUUUGGUUCUAACAACCUCUGAGUAUCCAUCGAGCAUUGCUUUGCAGAGAAAAAAAUAUAAUAAUGAAUGACUUAAAAUAUCUCUACUGAGGAAAAUACGAGCUUGACUUCAGUUUCAGAGGGAAUUACUUAUUUCUGGCUCAUUCACUGAUUCUAAUAGAAGACCAGCAGAGAUCUCCUAUGUUCAAAGUGUCUGGGAGCUUGAAAGAAGUACCACAGAGUUUGAAUUGGCUCUAAUAUGUUACUGAUUGCUAUCCAUGACGUUUCCCUGGAGCUUUAGAGAACAUCUGUGUACUUCACACUUGGAAAACAGUCAAUAUCCUUCCAUGGUGUGAUAGGCAUUGGGGCCAGGUAAACAGCACUUUGGAAGGAAGGCGGAGUGAUCUAAUAGGGACUUAUGGCUUGGUGAAAAGUGAGUUCAGCUCUGCUGCAGUCUUUGUGUAUACUUGGCUAACCACUUGACCUUCCCAUGUCUGGAAUUUUCCACAAGUAGAAUAGGCAUGGGAGCAUUUUCUUGUUCUCCAGAGACACUGGGUGAUGGAAAGCAUCAAGGGGUGAAAAACCAUGCACUAUCAGAAUGGCUUCCACUGCUUUCAGCAGAGGACAGCAAUUGCACGCAUAGAAAGCACAAGUUGAAACCUCACCCAGCAGCAUUGGUUUUGCUGCUGCAAACUGGGACCUUGCCGUCAGUAAUUUAUCUGUUAGCCUUUGUUUACCUGACCAGUGAUGGCACUAGUGGGUUUGGAAUGUCAUCUUGAUUGGCACCAGUAAAACUUUCAUACCAUGAUCUGCCACUCCCUGUUCUAGAGGGGCAUGUGUGUCAUGGAAAAUAAAUUUAUUUUGAGGAGUUGAAAAAUUAUUGAGACAAUUCUUACAUUGCUUUUCUGCAAAAGUAAGCAUCAAUUACUUCUCAAAUAACCACACACACCUCACAGGAGGCCACAAUGGUCCUUUUAAAAGUGCUAAAAUAGUCUCUCUAUGCAUUAAAAUGCCAACAUUUUAAACUCAUGCUAUUCAAAGUGACUUCUGGAGGGAAGCUGUGGAUUUCCAGCUUUCUCAGUGGUGUCUGAAGCAGGAUGGUUUGUGUGGGAGUUAAAGGUGGCUUUGUGCUGCAUUUGUGUUUUUCUGAUCACCAGACCAGAAGAGAUUGGCUUAGUCUCUGAUACAAACUGGAGUACCUCAAGGCUGUUGUAACAUAUACCUGACCAAAUCCUAACUCAAAACAAGGGACCACUGUAGCAGGGGACUCCUGGAAUGUGAUGUCUUGUACUGUUCAUCCUUUGGGCACAUCCUCUCACUGAGGGAAAGCUUAUGCAUUUCUUGGCUAUGUGGGAGUUCCUGAAAACAGGAAUUUAAACCACCAAUGUGCAGCAAUGUUAGCAAAGGGCAGGAUCUGACUCCAUGGAGUCAGGCAGCAACAGAAUUAACUGAAAUAGCAGGAUGCUUUCUGUCUGAAAAAAGGAAACCACUGCCUCAAGACUAGAUCUUAUUCAUUUUGGGCCUUGGGCAGGUGUUGUUUUGGAAGGCAAAAUCACAAAUGUCACAGUGUCUGCUUAAACAAAUAAAUGAGAAAAAUGCACAUUUUCCAGGGAAGAGAUACUUCAGCCAUGAGAAGUAGCUUUAACCCGGUGCAGUACAAGGCUACAUAGCAAACCCUUCUCAUCAUUCCUCUGAUGCAC